ACACAUGCAGUCGAGCGGAGAUGAGGUGCUUGCCUUAAAUCUUAGCGGCGGACGGGUGAGUAAAUGCUUAGGAAUCUGCCUAUUAGUGGGGGACAACAUUCCGAAAGAAUGCUAAUACCGCAUACGUCCUACGGGAGAAAGCAGGGGAUCUUCGGACCUUGCGCUAAUAGAUGAGCCUAAGUCGGAUUAGCUAGUUGGUGGGGUAAAGGCCUACCAAGGCGACGAUCUGUAGCGGGUCUGAGAGGAUGAUCCGCCACACUGGGACUGAGACACGGCCCAGACUCCUACGGGAGGCAGCAGUGGGGAAUAUUGGACAAUGGGGGGAACCCUGAUCCAGCCAUGCCGCGUGUGUGAAGAAGGCCUUAUGGUUGUAAAGCACUUUAAGCGAGGAGGAGGCUACUGAGACUAAUACUCUUGGAUAGUGGACGUUACUCGCAGAAUAAGCACCGGCUAACUCUGUGCCAGCAGCCGCGUAAUACAGAGGGUGCGAGCGUUAAUCGGAUUUACUGGGCGUAAAGCGUGCGUAGNGGCUUUUUAAGUCGGAUGUGAAAUCCCCGAGCUUAACUUGGGAAUUGCAUUCGAUACUGGGAAGCUAGAGUAUGGGAGAGGAUGGUAGAAUUCCAGGUGUAGCGGUGAAAUGCGUAGAGAUCUGGAGGAAUACCGAUGGCGAAG
This 672-nucleotide ribosomal RNA is filed under the name bacterium ocnta288lb42onnp9.24. RNAcentral's name for it is "bacterial SSU rRNA". It matches the Rfam family "Bacterial small subunit ribosomal RNA", at positions 51 to 720 of the family's 1533-position model. The record is from RNAcentral.